RNAcentral lists this ribosomal RNA (351 nucleotides) under uncultured bacterium. RNAcentral's name for it is "bacterial SSU rRNA". It matches the Rfam family "Bacterial small subunit ribosomal RNA", at positions 917 to 1271 of the family's 1533-position model. The record is from RNAcentral.
GGGCCCGCACAAGCGGCGGAGCAUGCGGAUUAAUUCGAUGCAACGCGAAGAACCUUACCAAGGCUUGACAUAUAGAGGAAAAGUGCAGAAAUGCACUCCCCGCAAGGUCUCUAUACAGGUGGUGCAUGGUUGUCGUCAGCUCGUGUCGUGAGAUGUUGGGUUAAGUCCCGCAACGAGCGCAACCCUCGUCCUAUGUUGCCAGCACGUAAUGGUGGGAACUCAUGGGAUACUGCCGGGGUCAACUCGGAGGAAGGUGGGGAUGACGUCAAAUCAUCAUGCCCCUUAUGUCUUGGCUUCACGCAUGCUACAAUGGCCGGUACAGAGGCUGCCAAUACCGUAAGGUGGAGCGAA